This 1033-nucleotide long non-coding RNA is filed under the name Eptatretus burgeri (inshore hagfish). RNAcentral's name for it is "lncRNA (ENSEBUG00000017267.1)". The record is from RNAcentral. Lineage: Eukaryota; Metazoa; Chordata; Myxini; Myxiniformes; Myxinidae.
AUGAAAAGGAGAGGUCGUCCCAAACCACCCAGUGUGGUUUCAAGGUUAGUCUGUGAAGCGGUGUGGGGCAUGUUCUCAGCCUGUGGCUCCACCCAGGGCAAGGAGGUUCCUUCCAAUGAUCCAGGAGUUCGGAAGUGGGGACCACCAGAAGUGGCCGAGUGGCUCCAGAACAACCGUCUGGAUCAAUAUGCACGUCACUUUGCUGAGUUUGAUGGAAAACUGUUCCAGAAACUUCUUCACAUCUAUGAACUGGCUCCAGAAAUGUUCCAAGUAGUGAUCAGAGAAGUGGCUCCACUGACUUGUCAGGAUCUCAUGCGUCUCUUGAGGGCCGUUGAUCGUCUCCUGGAAUGAGCUGAACCUGAAAACCAGACUCUCUCUCAUCUCUUGAACCAACAUCAUCCUCACUGAAACCCUUCCUGCAUCUUCUUCUUCACUUCGACCUGCAUGCACUGCAGUCUUCACCAUCACACAAUUCCACACCGAGCAUUUACACUCCACCCACAUUGCUCUGACCACACCCACAUUACCUUUACCAUGCCCACAUUACCUUUACCACACCCCUAUUACCUUUACCACACCCCUAUUACCAUUACCAUGCCCCGAUUACCUUGACCACGCCCCUAUUACCAUUAACACACCCCUAUUACCUUUACCACACCCCUAUUACCUUUACCACACCCCUAUUACCAUUACCACGCCCCAAUUACCUUUACCACACCCCGAUUACCUUUACCACACCCCGACUACCUUUACCACGCCCAUUUACACUCCACCCACAUUGCUCUGACCACACCCACAUUACCUUUACCACGCCCACAAUUUACACUCCACCCACAUUGUUCUGACCACACCCCUAUUACCUUUACCACGCCCAUUUACACUCCACCCACAUUUCUCUGACCACACCCCUAUUACCUUUACCACGCCCACCAUUUACACUCCACCCACAUUCACACACAAUACACAGACUGGGAGAACAACACAUACAUGGAGUGGGAUUUACUAUAAUCACAAAAACAAUAAUUGAUUUCUU